Molecule: long non-coding RNA, 1330 nt
Organism: Eriocheir sinensis (Chinese mitten crab)
Lineage: Eukaryota; Metazoa; Arthropoda; Malacostraca; Decapoda; Varunidae
Exons: 3
Source: RefSeq, a predicted model, not a curated record
GAGUUGCUGCUCACCCUCAGCAUCAAUCCUGUUGGUCAAAGGCAAGAGGAACACAGUGAUGAUCAAAAGAAAACUGUUUCCCGGUGCUUUCCUGAAGUCAUGACCAUUUUCACUUCAUUUCAAAGUGCUGCCUUUGGCCCCUUAUCUGGUGUUCACUGCGUAAUGGUUUGUUCUCCAGGAACAGCUGCAUUGCAUGUAUGUACAAACAGGAAGAUGGGAUAAUUAACAAAAUUAGAGUACAUAAGAAUAAUGGAAACUGUUGAAUAACUUUCAAGGGCUUUUAUAGUUUGGGUUCUAUAUACUAAAACUCCUGGGAGGCUGUGAAAUUAUAAGCUUGAACAGGUUAUAAUAUAUGUGUACUGUUUUAGGUCCCCAAACUGUGUGUGGAGGAAAAUAUCAACGGCAUCCCGAGUAACGACAGCAGCACCCAGCCGGUGGCCACACAAGCUGCACGCAAGAUGCUCUCAGCCCGCCCCUAGAUGCCACCCCGGAUGCCGGCCUGGUGCACCCCCUUGUACGCCUCCUGGAGAGGGCAGACAACCUCGGGCGCUGUCGUGUCGCUCGUCAAGCUGCUCCGCUCGCCGCACACCAACGUGGCAUGCAGAGCAAGCCGUGUGGGCGCCGGGAAACACUGCUGGCGAUGGCCCCAAACUCAGAGACUUAGUCAUUAAGGCUGGCAUUGUACAACCUCUUCUGGAACUCAUUAAACUAGAUAGAGAGACUGCCGAUGACUGAGGAGUGCGGCGGACUGGACAAGACUGAGGACUGCAGCACCACGACAACGAGGCCGUGUACGAGAAGGCCCUGGAUGGAUAUCAUCAAGAAGUGUUCCGGCGAGGAGGGGUCCCCCGAGGUGAGCAGCACCACCAGUGGCCAGGCGUACGACUUCUCUGCCGUGAACAACGUGCCUGAGGGUGAUUCUUUUUCUAGGACUUCAGUGUGUGUGUCUGGCAAGGGAGGAGCAGCAGCAGGCAGGGUGUGUGUGUUCCACGGCGGAAAAAUGUGAUAAUGUAUCUAACCGUCGAUCUCACUUGUCUAAGUGGCCUCUGCAGCAUGUUUUACUGGGCCUUCAGUGGACCCGCUGGUGCCUCAAUGUUUUACUGGGCCUUCAGUGGACCCGCUGGUGCCUCAAUGUUUUACUGGGCCUUCAGUGGACCCGCUGGUGCCUCAAUGUUUUACUGGGCCUUCAGUGGACUCCCUGGUGCCUCAAUGUUUUACUGGGCCUUCAGUGGACCCGCUGGUGCCUCAAUGUUUUACUGGGCCUUCAGUGGACCCGUUGGUGCCUCAGUGUUUUACUGGGCCUUCAGUGGACCCGCUGGUGCCUCAAUGU